This is a long non-coding RNA of Pomacea canaliculata, 1015 nucleotides long. RefSeq lists it as uncharacterized. Lineage: Eukaryota; Metazoa; Mollusca; Gastropoda; Architaenioglossa; Ampullariidae. The transcript has 5 exons. The record is from RefSeq and is a predicted model, not a curated record.
CCGGGGUGCAGUGAGGAAUCAACAGUCUACGUUCCCGCCUCUCGCCCUAACGGACGACUGUGACGUCACGAGGUGGGGGCUGGGUCUUCCGAUCAAACUCCGAAGGUCAAGUACCCGAGUAACAUAUAAGGACCUUUGUCAGGGAGUCCCAUCCAGACCACCAAUACCGUGAUUUGUGAGCGCUUCUCACCCCGUGCAGCCCGCCACCCAGCUACUCUCGUGUCAAACAUGGGUCUAUUGGAUGUUCCGUAUCAAAUCUACAUUUUCGUCGCCAAACUCUUCGGACUGUUCUUCUUAUUUGUUCAUGGCAUAGCAUUUCGAAUGUGGAACUAUGGGAUUAAGCCAGCGCUGAGCAAAGAGGAUGCUAAAAGUCUGGGAGAUGUCAGCGCCAUGGCGUCGUUGAACACGCCGCGAAGCUCCCUGUCAUGGCCUUUGUGUUGUGGUGGAACCUCAUGAUAGCCUCGGUGGAAGCCAUUUUCAGGCCCCUGAACGUGACGAUCGCCAGGUUCAGUUCUUUGUUGUGGGGCCAUGAGGAUCCUGAGAGAAGCAACAACACCACUUUCAACAACGACAAAUAGUAACCCGGACACAGGAAGCGAACCCUUGAGGAAACUGUCUCUUGAGGACGUCAGACACGACCCUGACUGACCUCUCGUGUGUGUUGAAAGAUGUUUGCCAGUGCACUUAUAUUGUCCAGAUGGCAAGGAAGAGGUGUAAAUACACGUGUGUAGAAGAAAUCAUUAAAAUAAAUAUACGUGUAUAUUUCAUCACGUGCAUCUGAAAGUGACAAAAUAUUUACUCAUCCACCGAAGAAAUGUCAAAAUCGUAUAUUCUAGCUACUUGCUACACACACACACACACAAACACACAGAGAGGGAGAGAAAGAGUAAUUUAUAAUAAAUUUAAAAAUUCUGAUGCUUGCGAAGUUUUGUAUGUGCAUGUUGAUGAUGGUAAUGUGUUGUUCAAAGCUGAUUAAUUCUGGACCAUAUUAAAUAAAGUCUCAUACUUCACUGUC